CUGGCUCAGGAUGAACGCUAGCGGCAGGCUUAACACAUGCAAGUCGAGGGGCAGCGCGAGUAGCAAUACUUGGCGGCGACCGGCGCAAGGGUGCGUAACGCGUGAGCAACAUGCCCGUAUCAGGGGGAUAAUCCAGGGAAACUUGGUCUAAUACCCCAUAGUAAUUUUGUAAGGCAUCUUAUAAGAUUUAAAGCUUUGGUGGAUACGGAUUGGCUCGCGUGACAUUAGCUGGAUGGUAAGGUAACGGCUUACCAUGGCUAUGAUGUCUAGGGGUUCUGAGAGGAAGGUCCCCCACACUGGAACUGAGACACGGUCCAGACUCCUACGGGAGGCAGCAGUGAGGAAUAUUGGACAAUGGAUGGAAAUCUGAUCCAGCCAUGCCGCGUAGAAGGAAGAAGGUCCUAUGGAUUGUAAACUUCUUUUGUAUGGGAGCAAUAAGGCCUACGAGUAGGUUGAUGAGAGUACCAUACGAAUAAGCACCGGCUAACUCCGUGCCAGCCGCCGC
This 505-nucleotide ribosomal RNA is filed under the name uncultured bacterium. RNAcentral's name for it is "bacterial SSU rRNA". It matches the Rfam family "Bacterial small subunit ribosomal RNA", at positions 19 to 518 of the family's 1533-position model. The record is from RNAcentral.